RNAcentral lists this ribosomal RNA (454 nucleotides) under uncultured bacterium. Its description in RNAcentral is "bacterial SSU rRNA". It matches the Rfam family "Bacterial small subunit ribosomal RNA", at positions 340 to 786 of the family's 1533-position model. The record is from RNAcentral.
UACGGGAGGCAGCAGUGGGGAAUAUUGCACAAUGGGCGCAAGCCUGAUGCAGCCAUGCCGCGUGUAUGAAAAAGGCCUUCGGGUUGUAAAGUACUUUCAGUCGUGAGGAAGGUGUUAAGGUUAAUAACCUUAGCAAUUGACGUUAGCGACAGAAGAAGCACCGGCUAACUCCGUGCCAGCAGCCGCGGUAAUACGGAGGGUGCGAGCGUUAAUCGGAAUUACUGGGCGUAAAGGGCACGCAGGCGGUUAAUUAAGUUGGAUGUGAAAUCCCCGGGCUUAACCUGGGAAUGGCAUUCAAGACUGGUUAGCUAGAGUCUUGUAGAGGGGGUAGAAUUCCAUGUGUAGCGGUGAAAUGCGUAGAGAUGUGGAGGAAUACCGGUGGCGAAGGCGGCCCCUGGACAAAGACUGACGCUCAUGUGCGAAAGCGUGGGGAGCGAAACAGGGAUUAGAUACC